GAUGAACGCUGGCGGCGUGCUUAACACAUGCAAGUCGAACGGUGAAGGCGGAGCUUGCUCUGCUGGAUCAGUGGCGAACGGGUGAGUAACACGUGAGCAAUCUGCCCCUGACUCUGGGAUAAGCGCUGGAAACGGCGUCUAAUACUGGAUACGAGCUGCGAAGGCAUCUUCAGCAGCUGGAAAGAACUUCGGUCAGGGAUGAGCUCGCGGCCUAUCAGCUUGUUGGUGAGGUAACGGCUCACCAAGGCGUCGACGGGUAGCCGGUCUGAGAGGGUGACCGGCCACACUGGGACUGAGACACGGCCCAGACUCCUACGGGAGGCAGCAGUGGGGAAUAUUGCACAAUGGGCGAAAGCCUGAUGCAGCAACGCCGCGUGAGGGACGACGGCCUUCGGGUUGUAAACCUCUUUUAGCAGGGAAGAGGCGAAAGUGACGGUACCUGCAGAAAAAGCGCCGGCUAACUACGUG
RNAcentral lists this ribosomal RNA (468 nucleotides) under uncultured bacterium. Its description in RNAcentral is "partial 16S ribosomal RNA". It matches the Rfam family "Bacterial small subunit ribosomal RNA", at positions 28 to 507 of the family's 1533-position model. The record is from RNAcentral.